Molecule: long non-coding RNA, 1811 nt
Organism: Triticum aestivum (bread wheat)
Lineage: Eukaryota; Viridiplantae; Streptophyta; Magnoliopsida; Poales; Poaceae
Exons: 6
Source: RefSeq, a predicted model, not a curated record
CUCCACCGCCUCGCCUCUUCCUCCUCCUGGCCUUCCCAUCGCUCGGGCGCAGGCUUCCGUGGCCAAGCGCUUCGAGGGCGAACCCGUCUCCACCACCAGCUCUAGGUUCACGCGGGACGGGCUCCCCCGCCUGGCUGUACUCCAUGAGCUGGCCGGCGACGGCGGCGGUGCUGGAUUCGAUCUGCAGGAGAGAGAGGGAGGCGAGGAUUGGUGAAGAACUCCGUUGCCGCUGCGUGCCGUGCUUCUGGAUCGAGCGCUGCCUGACCAAGGGAUAAGAGUAUGAGGUAAAACUAGCCACCAUGCUCCUGUGCGGGCUGCAUCUCCACAUCUCCCGUUUCAUUAUUUCACCAUUGCUGCCUCUUCUCCUCUUCGUUGCUCUGCUUCUUCUCCUGAUUUCUCUUUUUCAUUUUUUCUCUUUGUGGCGCCGCCGGGGAUGAGAGGAGCAGCUGCUGAAGCAGGCGCGGUGCUGGUGCACUGCUGGCGAAGCGGUCGUCGACGGUGCCGUCGACGUCGUCCUUGGCAGAAGAAUUUCAUUCUCAGCUUCAUCGGCGUCAGCUUCAUCACCAAGAGGACGGACUCCGGAAGGUAGCCUCCUCCUAAGGCGCCAGACCGGGAUCAGCUUUGGUGGCAUCCGAUGCUGCCAGACCACUGGGUUAGAGCAGAGGAAGCUGACAUGGUGUUCGACAUUCAGAUGGUCAUUGUGAUCGACCAGAUGCGGCGCCUCAUGUCACCCCGAGCCUCCAGGGCUUGUUAGCGGUGCUCAUAAAAGGUCUCAAGAAAGAUAAAAGAACUUGUGGUUCAAGCAGCAAGAAGAUAGCCAGCCUAAAUGAAUCAAAACAAGAACAAGCGUCGGGAAUUUACAAAUGAGGAAGUGCAGCUGGUGAUGUAAUUACUUUCAAUAGCGCUUCAGCUCUGCAAUCGACAGUUUGACCUCAUGCUAGGGCAGCCUCAGCCAGUUGCCUCUUCUAUCAAAGGAUAAUGACUACCUGAUAGUGAUUCCUUAUGCUCACAUCUUUGGCCUCAUGCUGCAAGCUCUAAAGCUGCCCCCUGCAACUUACCAGCACAAAAUAUACCCAGGCGGAAAGAAUCGUGUGACAGUGACUUUCAUUUCUACUUUGGAAUUGCUAGAUGGUUCACUUGUCCCGAGUUCUAUACCAGGUGCAAUCUUAGAUAGCUAUGAAGAUGCAGAAGUCAGUGCUGCUAUGGAGGCUAUUAGAUUCAUGGAGAAUGCAUAUGGCAAAGAAAUGAGAGGCUACCACUACACCCAUGUCAAGAGGCUAGAAAAUCAAGUGACGCACCUGGUCAAAUGGUUGACUUCAUCGAAUGAGACAAUCAAGAAGCUGCGCAAAACAUGCUACUACGCUGUCAGGUACAUGAACUCAUAUUCUACCCAGAUAGAAAACACAACAGCUGCUUGCCACCUGAAAGGUCAGGACAACACCAACGGAGUUAUGAAAACAGCUCUUGCAAGCAUCGAAGGACUGAUGCAAAGGCUACGCUACAUUGCUAUAAAGUUUGAGCAGCGCCUUGAAGCAACCAGCAACAGUUUCUGGUAAACUUUGCUGAAUGUAUCCUGGAUAGCGUGCUUCAUCGGUUACCGCAACAACCACCUUUUGUUUCAUAUCUAUCAGACCAGCAUCUUUCCCAUUUUGGACUACUCCCAGCAAGAUAUGUAUAGACUUUAGUCCUCCCUUGCUGCCUCUAUGGUGAAAAGUAGUCUAUGAUGUAGUUUACGAUCUUUAGAUUUUAUUGUUGUCUGUAUAGUCAAGAGCGGUUUACCAUCGCUUAUUGUAUAUAUGUGAAGGUCUCCU